GAUGAAGAACGUAGCGAAAUGCGAUACGUAAUGUGAAUUGCAGAAUCCAGUGAAUCAUCGAGUCUUUGAACGCACAUUGCGCCCCCUGGUAUUCCGGGGGGCAUGCCUGUCCGCGCGUCAUUGCUGCCCUCAAGCACGGCUUGUGUGUUGGGCCCCGUCCUCCGAUUCCGGGGGACGGGCCCGAAAGGCAGCGGCGGCACCGCGUCCGGUCCUCGAGCGUAUGGGGCUUUGUCACCCGCUCUGUAGGCCCGGCCGGCGCUUGCCGAUCAACCCAAAUUUUUAUCCAGGUUGACCUCGGAUCAGGUAGGGAUACCCGCUGAACUUAAGCAUAUCAAUAAGCGGAGGA
This 346-nucleotide unclassified non-coding RNA is filed under the name soil metagenome. Its description in RNAcentral is "partial contains 5.8S ribosomal RNA, internal transcribed spacer 2, and large subunit ribosomal RNA". The stretch from base 1 to 120 matches the Rfam family "5.8S ribosomal RNA", at positions 35 to 154 of the family's 154-position model. The record is from RNAcentral.